GCGGGAAGACCACGCGAAGCCGUGACCGAGGGCUCCCGAGAGCAGGGCCCGAGACAGCGCCCCUGCGGAGUUCCUGGGAGCGGGCGGGGGAGGGGCUCCCACGUCUGGACAGGGGAACCCCACAAUCUGGGUCUGCAAGGUUCUAUGCACACUCCUAAGACUCAGCAAGAUGCUGGAGACAAAACUGCACAACAUUUGAGAGAUUUCUAUUUUUAAACAGCCAUUGAUUGGGGGGGGGAGGGAAAAAAGGCCAAUUAUGGUUCCCUUAAUGACAUCAGAAACUCGCCAGGCCACCCAGCACCCCGAUCUGGGACGGGAGAGGCAGCGUGAGACAAAGGCUGUCACGACACGUAGGUGAACCAAGUGUACACGUCUCGAAGAUACCACCAAAUUUUUAGAAAUGGCCACAGUGCCAGAGAAAACCAAGCUACCAUAGGCAGGAUAAGUUCUGAAAAACAGGUCCUGUUUCUAUUUAUAAAGCCGCAGGAGUGAAAAUACGAGAGCUAAGCUCACAGACUUGGCUAAUGAGAGAGUAGUGCUUGAAGCUGGGGGGCAGGGGGCACACCAUGCCAUUUUAUAUAAACAGGGUUGGCACUUUAUUCAGGGAUUGCAUAUAGAGGUCUAUCUUCAAAUACAUUUUGAAUAAACCAAAGAAAACACUGGAAGCCACAGAAGCAGAAGAGCAGAGGACUUUCAGAGAAAACUCCAGAAUCGUAACGAAGAGAAAUGCUGGAGAACAUGGUGUAAAAUGUGAAUUUUAUGUGGAGAAAGUGACAAAGUAUUCACCACACACACACACUCCUACAACUCAAUAAGAAAAAGACCCCCAAAGAAAACGGGCAGAUGACACAAAGAGCUUCGGAGAAAGGAAGCUGUGGCUCACUGAGGUAUGGCUCAAGU
Molecule: long non-coding RNA, 900 nt
Organism: Perognathus longimembris pacificus (Pacific pocket mouse)
Lineage: Eukaryota; Metazoa; Chordata; Mammalia; Rodentia; Heteromyidae
Exons: 3
Source: RefSeq, a predicted model, not a curated record